Long non-coding RNA from Salvia splendens (bonfire salvia), 758 nucleotides. RefSeq lists it as uncharacterized. The record is from RefSeq and is a predicted model, not a curated record. The transcript has 2 exons. NCBI's taxonomy places the organism in Eukaryota, Viridiplantae, Streptophyta, Magnoliopsida, Lamiales, Lamiaceae.
GGUGAUUGAUCUCGCGGAAUGCCCAUUACCUGAUACGAGUGCCAACGCAUGUUUGGAAUUCAUCAAUGUGUUGCUAAACAAUUAUCCCGAGAGACUAGCUGCUGCAUAUCUGUGCAACCCUAGUCCAAUGUUUCUUUUCAAUUGUAGAUGGUUUGUUUUCUCAAGUGUCAGCUUAAAAAUUACUUUUACAUUUUGCAUGUUUUCUUAUUAAGUAAAUGUAAUUUAUUGUAGAAAGUUGGACCCCGCUUGGAAGCACCUAAAACAAUUCAGAAGCUGACUAUUUAGAUUCGGGAGGGCAUAGGCAUUGGAGAACUGUUGAUGCACUAUUUUAUUGGGGAGCAUCUCCCGAUGGAGUAUGGAGGUUUGGGUAAGCUGCGUUACUUUGGCUUAGGUACGUCUAGAUGACUAUCUGUUUAGGACCUAUAUUCAUAGUGACACACAUUUAUCGUAGCUAUACUUUCAAAAAUGUCUUUUGCGGUUCAUAUAGUUUUGCCCAUUCAAUAUCCACAUCAACGCCUUACUUUCUCGCUCCCAAUCGGCUCUCCACUCCCUCCGCUCAAUCGGUGGCUUCCGAUUUGAUUGACCCAAUUGCAUCACUUUCAGAAUAGGAUUAAUCGAGUUUUUAAUCAUCUGCUAAUCUCGGUAUUGAUGAAGAUUUUGGAAGGGGAUUCUGAGUGUGGCAUAAUGAAUAAAAGUGCCAAAAAGAGUCGUUUAUCUGUAAGAAAAGAAAUGAAACUGAGAGAUAAUUUGUUUACAAA